UACGUAGGGUGCGAGCGUUAAUCGGAAUUACUGGGCGUAAAGCGUGCGCAGGCGGUUUUGAAAGUCAGCUGUGAAAGCCCCGGGCUUAACCUGGGAAUUGCGGUUGAAACUACAGGGCUAGAAUCUGGCAGAGGGGGGUGGAAUUCCACGUGUAGCAGUGAAAUGCGUAGAGAUGUGGAGGAACACCGAUGGCGAAGGCAGCCCCCUGGGCUGAGAUUGACGCUCAGGCACGAAAGCGUGGGGAGCAAACAGG
Molecule: ribosomal RNA, 253 nt
Filed under: uncultured bacterium
Lineage: Bacteria
Description: partial 16S ribosomal RNA
Rfam family: Bacterial small subunit ribosomal RNA
Source: RNAcentral